UACGAAGGGUGCAAGCGUUAUUCGGAUUUAUUGGGUGUAAAGGGUGCGUAGACGGUAUGUUAAGUCCGCUGUUAAAUUUUCCGGCCUAACCGGAAAUCUGCAGUAAAAACUGGCGUACUAGAGGGUGGAAGAGAGAAGUGGAAUUCUCGGAGUAGCGGUAAAAUGCGUAGAUCUCGAGAGGAACACCAAUGGCGAAGGCAGCUUCUUGGUCCAUACCUGACGUUGAUGCACGAAAGCGUGGGGAGCAAACAGGAUUAGAUACCCUGGUAGUCCACGCUGUAAACGAUAAUCACUAGAUGUUGGCUUUGUUUGACAAGGUCAGUAUCGCAGCUAACGCGUUAAGUGAUUCACCUGGGGACUACGGUCGCAAGAUUAAAACUCAAAGGAAUUGACGGGGGUCCGCACAAGCGGUGGAACAUGUGGUUUAAUUCGACACUACGCGAGGAACCUUACCUAGGCUUGACAUGUAUUUGACCGUCGUGGAAACACGAUUUUCUAGGCUUCGGUCUAGACAGAUACACAGGUGCUGCAUGGCUGUCGUCAGCUCGUGUCGUGAGAUGUUUGGAUAAGUCCUCUAACGAGCGCAACUCCUCCUGCCAGUUGCUACUUUUAAGUAAAACUCUCUGGUGGGACUGCCUGGGAAACCAGGAGGAAGGUGGGAAUGACGUCAAGUCCUCAUGGUCCUUAUGUCUAGGGCUACACACGUGUUACAAUGGCUAGUACAAAGGGCUGCAAGCUCGCAAGAGUAAGCUAAUCCCAUAAAACUAGUCUAAGUUCGGAGUGGGGUCUGCAACUCGACCCCAUGAAGUUGAAAUCGCUAGUAAUCGCGUAUCAGCAACGACGCGGUGAAUACGUUCUCGGACCU
This 865-nucleotide ribosomal RNA is filed under the name uncultured bacterium. RNAcentral's name for it is "SSU rRNA". It matches the Rfam family "Bacterial small subunit ribosomal RNA", at positions 524 to 1381 of the family's 1533-position model. The record is from RNAcentral.